GCUUACGGCCAUACUACCCUCAGCACGCCCGAUCUCGUCUGAUCUCGGAAGCGAAGCAGGGAUGGGCUAAGUUAGUACUUGGAUGGGAGACCACCUGGGAAUACCAGUGGCUGUAAGCU
Oreochromis aureus is the source of this 119-nucleotide ribosomal RNA. The record is from Ensembl. Lineage: Eukaryota; Metazoa; Chordata; Actinopteri; Cichliformes; Cichlidae.